GAGCGUCAUUAAACACCAUCAAGCUUUGCUUGAAAUUGGGCCAUGCCUGUAAAAUAAGCUGGCUUUAAAAUCAGUGGCAAUGUCAUCCGACUCUAAGCGUAGUAAUUAUUCUCGCUAUUGUGUCAGGGUGAUCUCUCGCCAGUAACCCCCUAUUUUCAAUGUUUGACCUCGGAUCGUGUAGGAAUACCCGCUGAACUUAA
This 200-nucleotide unclassified non-coding RNA is filed under the name soil metagenome. RNAcentral describes it as "partial contains internal transcribed spacer 2 and large subunit ribosomal RNA". The record is from RNAcentral.